This 424-nucleotide ribosomal RNA is filed under the name uncultured bacterium. RNAcentral describes it as "bacterial SSU rRNA". It matches the Rfam family "Bacterial small subunit ribosomal RNA", at positions 355 to 776 of the family's 1533-position model. The record is from RNAcentral.
UAAGGAAUAUUGGUCAAUGGACGCAAGUCUGAACCAGCCAUGCCGCGUGAAGGAUGAAGGUCCUCUGGAUUGUAAACUUCUUUUAUUUGGGACGAAAAAAGGGUUUUCUAACUCACUUGACGGUACCAGAUGAAUAAGCACCGGCUAACUCCGUGCCAGCAGCCGCGGUAAUACGGAGGGUGCAAGCGUUAUCCGGAUUCACUGGGUUUAAAGGGUGCGUAGGCGGGUAUGUAAGUCAGCGGUGAAAUCCCCGAGCUUAACUUGGGAACUGCCGUUGAUACUAUAUAUCUUGAAUGUUGUGGAGGUUAGCGGAAUAUGUCAUGUAGCGGUGAAAUGCUUAGAUAUGACAUAGAACACCCAUUGCGAAGGCAGCUAACUACGCAAAUAUUGACGCUGAGGCACGAAAGCGUGGGGAUCAAACAGG